CCUACGGGAGGCAGCAGUGGGGAAUAUUGGACAAUGGGUGAAAGCCUGAUCCAGCCGUGCCGCGUGUGUGAAGAAGGCCUUCGGGUUGUAAAGCACUUUCAGUGGGGAAGAAAGCCUUGGGGCUAAUACCCUCGAGGAAGGACAUCACCCACAGAAGAAGCACCGGCUAACUCCGUGCCAGCAGCCGCGGUAAUACGGAGGGUGCGAGCGUUAAUCGGAAUUACUGGGCGUAAAGCGCGCGUAGGCGGUCUGAUAAGCCGGUUGUGAAAGCCCCGGGCUCAACCUGGGAACGGCAUCCGGAACUGUCAGGCUAGAGUGCAGGAGAGGAAGGUAGAAUUCCCGGUGUAGCGGUGAAAUGCGUAGAGAUCGGGAGGAAUACCAGUGGCGAAGGCGGCCUUCUGGACUGACACUGACGCUGAGGUGCGAAAGCGUGGGUAGCAAACAGGAUUAGAUACCCCGGUAGUC
Molecule: ribosomal RNA, 465 nt
Filed under: Vreelandella stevensii
Lineage: Bacteria; Pseudomonadati; Pseudomonadota; Gammaproteobacteria; Oceanospirillales; Halomonadaceae
Description: partial 16S ribosomal RNA
Rfam family: Bacterial small subunit ribosomal RNA
Source: RNAcentral